AGUGAACGCUGGCGGUAGGCCUAACACAUGCAAGUCGAACGGAAGCACAGUAAGAGCUUGCUCUUACGGGUGGCGAGUGGCGGACGGGUGAGGAAUACAUCGGAAUCUACUUUUUCGUGGGGGAUAACGUAGGGAAACUUACGCUAAUACCGCAUACGACCUACGGGUGAAAGCAGGGGAUCUUCGGACCUUGCGCGAUUGAAUGAGCCGAUGUCGGAUUAGCUAGUUGGCGGGGUAAAGGCCCACCAAGGCGACGAUCCGUAGCUGGUCUGGGAGGAUGAUCAGCCACACUGGAACUGAGACACGGUCCAGACUCCUACGGGAGGCAGCAGUGGGGAAUAUUGGACAAUGGGCGCAAGCCUGAUCCAGCCAUACCGCGUGGGUGAAGAAGGCCUUCGGGUUGUAAAGCCCUUUUGUUGGGAAAGAAAAGCAGCAGGUUAAUACCCCGCUGUUCUGACGGUACCCAAAGAAUAAGCACCGGCUAACUUCGUG
RNAcentral lists this ribosomal RNA (492 nucleotides) under uncultured bacterium. Its description in RNAcentral is "partial 16S ribosomal RNA". It matches the Rfam family "Bacterial small subunit ribosomal RNA", at positions 29 to 507 of the family's 1533-position model. The record is from RNAcentral.